RNAcentral lists this ribosomal RNA (724 nucleotides) under Diploschistes interpediens. RNAcentral describes it as "mitochondrial SSU rRNA". It matches the Rfam family "Bacterial small subunit ribosomal RNA", at positions 366 to 1162 of the family's 1533-position model. Lineage: Eukaryota; Fungi; Ascomycota; Lecanoromycetes; Ostropales; Graphidaceae. The record is from RNAcentral.
UGGUAAAAUGUGAUGUACCUAGUAAUAUUAGUGAUUAAUAUGAGGCUAACCGAGUUAGUUAAAAUUCUAAGUAUAUAUGUGAUUAUGACAAUAUGUGCUUAUUUCUUGACCAAGUCACGUGCCAGCCGUCGCGGUAAUACGUGGAAGAUCAGUGUUAUUCAUCUUUAUCAGGUUUAAAGGGUACCUAGACGGUUAAUUAAGCUUUAGUAGGAACUAAUUAACUAGAGUUUAAUGUAAGAAUGAUUGAGUACGGUGAGUGUAGAGAUAAAAUUCUGUCAUACCACUUAGGAACUGGUAAAAGCGAAGGCAACUUUCUAUGUAAAAACUGACGUUAAGGGACGAAGGCUCGUAUCAAAUAACAGGAUUAGAUACCCCAGCAUUGUGGGCAGACAAUGAUGAGUGUCAUAUGCAAGAGAUAAAAAAAAAUAUUUUGUGUAUAAAUGAAAGUGUAAGCACUCCACCUCAAGAGUAACGUGGCAACAUGGGAACUGAAAUCAUUAGACCGUUUCUGAAACUCGUAGUGAAGUAUGUUGUUUAAUUAGAUGGUGCACAAAUAACCUUACCACAAUUUGUAUAACUAUAGUACAUAAUAAUAAUAUAGUUACAAGCGUUGCACGGCUGUCUUUAGUCUAUGUUGUGAAACUGUGGUUAGAUCCAUUAAAUAGACGUAAACCCUUACUUUAUUUAUUAUAAAGUAGUUCGCCGAUAUAUUGGUAGUGAUAUA